Molecule: ribosomal RNA, 323 nt
Filed under: uncultured Pseudomonadota bacterium
Lineage: Bacteria; Pseudomonadati; Pseudomonadota
Description: bacterial SSU rRNA
Rfam family: Bacterial small subunit ribosomal RNA
Source: RNAcentral
AUUGAACGCUGGCGGCGUGCUUAACACAUGCAAGUCGAUCGGUAACAGGUGUAGCAAUACAUGCUGACGAGAGGCGGACGGGUGAGGAACGCUUGGGAAUCUGCCCAUCAGCGGGGGACAACCCGGGGAAACCCGGGCUAAUACCGCAUACGCCCUACGGGGGAAAGCAGGGGAUCUUCGGACCUUGCACUAUUGGAUGAGCCUAAGUCGGAUUAGCUAGUUGGUAGGGUAAAGGCCUACCAAGGCGACGAUCCGUAGCUGGUCUGAGAGGACGAUCAGCCACACUGGGACUGAGACACGGCCCAGACUCCUACGGGUGGCUG